Molecule: ribosomal RNA, 1286 nt
Filed under: Salmonella enterica
Lineage: Bacteria; Pseudomonadati; Pseudomonadota; Gammaproteobacteria; Enterobacterales; Enterobacteriaceae
Description: partial 23S ribosomal RNA
Rfam family: Bacterial large subunit ribosomal RNA
Source: RNAcentral
CGACCCCUAAGGCGAGGCCGAAAGGCGUAGUCGAUGGGAAACGGGUUAAUAUUCCCGUACUUGGUGUUACUGCGAAGGGGGGACGGAGAAGGCUAUGUUGGCCGGGCGACGGUUGUCCCGGUUUAAGCGUGUAGGUGUGUGUUCCAGGUAAAUCCGGUUCACUUUAACACUGAGGCGUGACGACGAGGCACUACGGUGCUGAAGCAACAAAUGCCCUGCUUCCAGGAAAAGCCUCUAAGCAUCAGGUAACAUCAAAUCGUACCCCAAACCGACACAGGUGGUCAGGUAGAGAAUACCAAGGCGCUUGAGAGAACUCGGGUGAAGGAACUAGGCAAAAUGGUGCCGUAACUUCGGGAGAAGGCACGCUGACACGUAGGUGAAGUGAUUUACUCAUGGAGCUGAAGUCAGUCGAAGAUACCAGCUGGCUGCAACUGUUUAUUAAAAACACAGCACUGUGCAAACACGAAAGUGGACGUAUACGGUGUGACGCCUGCCCGGUGCCGGAAGGUUAAUUGAUGGGGUCAGCGCAAGCGAAGCUCCUGAUCGAAGCCCCGGUAAACGGCGGCCGUAACUAUAACGGUCCUAAGGUAGCGAAAUUCCUUGUCGGGUAAGUUCCGACCUGCACGAAUGGCGUAAUGAUGGCCAGGCUGUCUCCACCCGAGACUCAGUGAAAUUGAACUCGCUGUGAAGAUGCAGUGUACCCGCGGCAAGACGGAAAGACCCCGUGAACCUUUACUAUAGCUUGACACUGAACAUUGAGCCUUGAUGUGUAGGAUAGGUGGGAGGCUUUGAAGUGUGGACGCCAGUCUGCAUGGAGCCGACCUUGAAAUACCACCCUUUAAUGUUUGAUGUUCUAACGUGGACCCGUAAUCCGGGUUGCGGACAGUGUCUGGUGGGUAGUUUGACUGGGGCGGUCUCCUCCUAAAGAGUAACGGAGGAGCACGAAGGUUGGCUAAUCCUGGUCGGACAUCAGGAGGUUAGUGCAAUGGCAUAAGCCAGCUUGACUGCGAGCGUGACGGCGCGAGCAGGUGCGAAAGCAGGUCAUAGUGAUCCGGUGGUUCUGAAUGGAAGGGCCAUCGCUCAACGGAUAAAAGGUACUCCGGGGAUAACAGGCUGAUACCGCCCAAGAGUUCAUAUCGACGGCGGUGUUUGGCACCUCGAUGUCGGCUCAUCACAUCCUGGGGCUGAAGUAGGUCCCAAGGGUAUGGCUGUUCGCCAUUUAAAGUGGUACGCGAGCUGGGUUUAGAACGUCGUGAGACAGUUCGGUCCCUAUCUGCCGUGGGCGC